CUCACCUGGCAGAUUUGGCACCUGGGGCCGGACUGAGCCCCUCCGGGUGCGCCCUCCUUCCUCCUCCAUGAGCCCCGCAGAGCCGCCUCAGGAAACCGGGCAGUGCAAAAGGAGCCGAGGCUCAGCAAGAGCCCCCACCUUUGCCGCGGGGGCAGGCAGCCGGGCAGGGGACAGCGCCCCACCGCCGCCAGGGCCAGCACUGCCGCAGGGCCGCUCUCACCCGGGGCGCUGGGCAACAGCGGACACCAAUCGGCAGCCCACUUGCCCCGAGGAAUCCGGGCCUUUCCAGGUCGGACGGGGCUAUUGAAUGUGCCUGCCCCGCCCCCCCGCGCGCGCCCCCGCGGCGGGAGCAGCUGCGCGCUUCCCCACGCCGGCGGGCACACACGUGCGCUGCUCCUGCUCCUGCUCCGCGCAGAAGCGGCCUCACCCGCGAGCUCCACGGACUCCAGCCCUCGUCUCUACGCGAGCUGCUCUAAGCCGUGGGGCUCUGCCUGGCAUAACCCACGGCCACGGGGCAUGACUUUCCGAAGCGGGGCGGGAACUCCAGGUGCUUUUCUUGGCACCCGCUUUGAGAUUACACAUUUAAGGUCUUUCCCAGUUCGCAGCAAGCCAGCCCAACACUCCAGUUGGGGUUGGGUUUUGUUUGUUUGUUUGUUUGUUUGUUUGUUUGUUUUGGCGGGGGGGCGCGUUUUUUCUUUUUUGAUGGUCUCUUGUCCAGGUCAGUGUUUGUGAUGCUCAGCCGUGCCCAGCUGCUUCACUGCCGCGUUUAUGGUGUCUCAUCUUUUCCUUUAACUUCCUGUUUUUUUCCUCCAGCCCUGCCAGCAGCAUUCACUGCCGCACUGCAGUAGAGCAGUAAAUACCUUUAACAGCUGCCUGCCAACCAAGGAGUGAAAUACUGUCUUUGUUCUGACUUUUUCUGCCCCGAGAGCUCAUAAAGCAGUCCGCAAGAAAUAGAUUUCUUGGAGGAAAACAUUAUUAGAAAAUAAACAAAUCUUUGGGCUCCGAGUGGGGGAGGGG
This 1017-nucleotide long non-coding RNA is filed under the name Crocodylus porosus (Australian saltwater crocodile). RNAcentral's name for it is "lncRNA (ENSCPRG00005013829.1)". Lineage: Eukaryota; Metazoa; Chordata; Crocodylia; Crocodylidae. The record is from RNAcentral.